AUGGGAUUUUCGCUCCGUUUGGUUACCAUUCUAGCAGCUUUGGAAGGUGCCCGGUGCCAGGUGCUGCUGGUGGAGUCCGGAGGGGAUGUGAAGAAGCCCGGAGACUCUCUGCGCCUCUCCUGUAAAGCCUCCGGCUUCACCUUCAGCAGCUACAACAUGAACUGGGUCCGGCAGGCUCCCGCGAAGGGGCUGGAGUGGGUUGCCCACAUUAAAAGCGCCCCAACCUACUAUGCUGACUCAGUCAAAGGCCGAUUCACCAUCUCCAGGGACAACCCCAACAACCUGCUGCACCUGCAAAUGACCGGCCUGAAGCCCGAGGACACCGCCCGCUAUUACUGUGCCAGAGACAUCACAGUGACACUAACCCUUUAG
Pelodiscus sinensis (Chinese soft-shelled turtle) is the source of this 372-nucleotide non-coding RNA. Lineage: Eukaryota; Metazoa; Chordata; Testudines; Trionychidae. The record is from the annotation of a RefSeq genome assembly.